This 274-nucleotide ribosomal RNA is filed under the name uncultured bacterium. RNAcentral describes it as "partial 16S ribosomal RNA". It matches the Rfam family "Bacterial small subunit ribosomal RNA", at positions 523 to 796 of the family's 1533-position model. The record is from RNAcentral.
AUACGGAGGGUGCAAGCGUUGUUCGGAAUCACUGGGCGUAAAGGGCGCGCAGGCGGUUUGGUAAGUCAGAUGUGAAAGCCCACGGCUCAACCGUGGAAGUGCAUUUGAAACUGUCAGACUUGAGUACUAGAGGGGAAAGUGGAAUUCCCGGUGUAGAGGUGAAAUUCGUAGAUAUCUGGAGGAAUACCGGUGGCGAAGGCGACUUUCUGGCUAGAUACUGACGCUGAGGCGCGAAAGCGUGGGUAGCAAACAGGAUUAGAAACCCCAGUAGUCC